AAAAAGCCCUAUCGUGAAAAACUAGUGAUUUCAUAAACCAUAAAGUGGUUUAUGAAAUCACUAGUUUUUCACGAUAGGGCUUUUU
Pelobates cultripes (western spadefoot toad) is the source of this 85-nucleotide non-coding RNA. Lineage: Eukaryota; Metazoa; Chordata; Amphibia; Anura; Pelobatidae. The record is from the annotation of a GenBank genome assembly.